Candoia aspera is the source of this 364-nucleotide long non-coding RNA. RefSeq lists it as uncharacterized. The transcript is spliced from 3 exons. The record is from RefSeq and is a predicted model, not a curated record. NCBI's taxonomy places the organism in Eukaryota, Metazoa, Chordata, Lepidosauria, Squamata, Candoiidae.
AUCGUUCGCCCGCUGGUGCUCCUUCUGUGGCUCUCGCGGUUGCUUCUGCCUUCUAUUUGCGUUGCCAUGGCAGCGGCGGGGGAACCUGGGCCUUUUUCUAAAGCAGUUGCUGCUUUAGGGAACUGCAGCGGCUGACGGCUUGCAGAAAGCGAUGGCAGGGGCUUUAACCUCAGGAGCUCCUUCUGAGUAUCCAGGAAGAGUGGGAGAUUCUUCAUUGCCAGGAUGUGGGUUGUAUGCUGAUAAACAGGAGCAGAGUACAGUUGUUCCUGCUUUUGUUAAGUCUGUGUGUUCAUGCUACCUAUGCACUGGAAAUCAGUGAGAUGUAAAAUUUAGAACCUGGAAUUUGAGCUCCAUAAUAUUAGUA